This is a long non-coding RNA of Canis lupus familiaris (dog), 3608 nucleotides long. RefSeq lists it as uncharacterized. The record is from RefSeq and is a predicted model, not a curated record. NCBI's taxonomy places the organism in Eukaryota, Metazoa, Chordata, Mammalia, Carnivora, Canidae. The transcript is spliced from 3 exons.
UUAUAAACUAGAUAAACAAUUAAGGGAUUUCCUAAAAGCAAUCCUUAUAGUACUGAGUCUUCUGGAUGGUAAGGAGGACAAGUUCCUUUGGGCUCCAAGCAUCUUCCCCUUAUCAGCCCUUCUCUUCCCAUUAAUUGGUAGGAGUCAGACUUUGCAAUUUUUGUUUUAUUUAGAGUUUACAGUUUAAACUACUGCAAAUGACUCAGACACCUGAUCACGAAAUAGCAUGAAUUUCAGGGCAUAGGAAAAAAAAUGUAAUAGUACAUAAUAGAGCGAUCUGGGAGGACUCAUUAAUUCCCCCCACCCCCUCAAAACCACUUUAAAUGGAUCAGCUGUUAGAAACACUUGGAGCUAACCAUCUUAAAAGACACAACUUUAAAUUUCUCAAAAUUUUUUCCUUGUGAUACCUAGAAACAUACUGUUUAUUUUUUCUUUUACAAAUUAGUAUGGGCUUGGUGCCAUUCUACUGCCAAACAAAAGUACCACCUUAUCAAAGCAAUUGCCUAAAAAUAAAAGCAUGCUGUUUUUGAGACAGACCUGAAUUUAGUAUUUUGCCACUGCACUUAGGAAAUUUACUUUAAAAGGCUUUCUUUGUGGCCUGGGAAAAGAAGUGACGCUAUUGUACCCACCAAAUGGGCAGCUGCGCCACUUUGUGUAGACCAAUGUGGCUCCAUGAAAGGACAUCCUGGGCAGCCAUUGGCCCACAGAUGGCAGCAUCUCCCUCCUGCACAUACCCCCUAAUUAAAGCUUGGGUUUUGGUGGAAACUGCUGUAUCAUAAUGCAAUAUGGACUACCUUUUUUUAUGAUUGGUAACUAAAUGCCUCCAUUUUUAGACUAGAUGAAACAAAAUGCUCUUUGUGGUUUUCCUAUUUUGAAGUAUUCAGAAAAUUUCUUUUGCUGGCACCAUCUAUAACUUUUAAAUAGAGCUACUCACUGUGAUUCCACGGGAUCUCUGGGUUUUCAGUGGUUUUCCUUAGCUUGGGUGCUCAUCGGAAUGCCCUAGGGAAUUUUAGAAAGCCUGUUUUCAGGCCUCAUGUAUAUCUACCCUGGAAUCCUUCAGAGCAGGGCCCAGAGAUCUAUACUUGAUAGAGCUCUCCAAGGACUGAUGAUGAUCAUCCAGGUUUGGUAACCACUAUCAUAAUGUGUUUCCUAAACAGUUCUUCCACCUUUCAUAGCUCUCCCGCCGUGCACAACGAUGAUGUCUGUCUUUUUCUUCCAGGUUAAAUGUUUUCUUAGUUUUACCUGCCUUUAUACAUUUUCUUGGAAGCUACCUCAAGGACUUUGGUAAUGGAAGUCAUGGUAAACUGUCAACUACCCGUAUAGUAUUAUUUUUAUAAAGUGGAAAUACAUUUUAGCAAUCAUAUUGCUAUAAUCCUGUUUUAUGAUGUGUUCUUACAACUGUAGACAACUGGCAAAGUUUAUAGUAACUGUAAUAAUUUGAAAAAGUAACAACAGCAAUAUGCAUGAAGCAUUACUCUGUGCCACGGAUUUUCCAUACCUUAUCUCAUUUAAUGAAGGGAUCCAAAUAAUGUGCUCACUAGUGAAAUCUUCUGUCAGCAAGGCUCCGAGAAAUUGAGAUUUUCUUACAGCCCAAGAGGAUGAACAAUAAACUACCACAAAACCUGUUGCUUGGAAAAUAUAAAGCAAUGUGGCUUCUCAACUAAGAUAACAUCGAUUUUUAUUUUGAACCAGUUUUUCCACACAAGAAACCCUAUGAUAAUCACUGCUGCAAGAACAUGCCCCUUUUCCACCAACAAAAGUCUGGGGAUAUAUUAUUAAAGGUGUCUACCUAAGAGGGAGAAGGAGGCCUUCACACAAUUUAUCUUUCUGUGACUUUCCAUUUCUCUUUUUAUGUGUUCUCCUUUCCUCCUCUCACAAACCCCUCCUAAAGUCUUUGGUCUUUAUCCUUUUUAAGUACAAUAAAUUACAUAAAAAAGAACAAAGGAGGCACUUUAAUAUGGAAAGAACUACUUGCAAUCAUUAUACUAUACAAAAAGGGACUCAAAAUCUUCAACUAAAGAUGAGUUUUAAUUGAUGUUAGUUCUGUUACAAUGAGCUGACAGAGAGCUAUUAAAACUCUAAUGACAUCUGACAAACGUGCCAUAGGAGAGUUAUUCUUCAGUAGUUGGAAAUAUGGUAUUAGCUCAGCAGUACCCAGGUAAGUGAGGACAUGUCUAAGAACUAGUAUACUUGUAUUCAUCUCACAGACACCAGCACCUACUAAAGUGCUAGUUCCUGAGGGUACGAACAGGAGAGGUUUCUUGCCUGUGAGGCUCACAACUGGCCAUAGCAGAUGCCACUGUCACAGAUGAUUAUAAUAUGUUAAGUCCCACAAAGUUUGAUAAAAACUGUGCUGAGUAGAGUAGGGUGGGGAGCCAUGAUAGACAAGUGGGAUUUAACAGAACUGCUGGAAUUGGUGAGGUAAUUCCAGGAAGAGGGUCCUGCGUGAGCCCAGCAAAGUGCUUGGUGUUCUGCUGCCUCAGGAGAGGAAUGGUUAUGCAGAGAACAAGGGGCAUGUACCCACAUGUACUCUCUGCACGCAGAGGAUGGGGUUGAGCCAGAGGUGAGGCUAGAAGGGCAUGCUCUCCAUGUGGAAGAACGUCAUGGGUACACUGGACCUGUGUUGAAAAUUAUCCAGAGAGGUUCACUUUUUAAGUACCCAGAGCACCUCGUUCAGCAUCUCAUCUAUAUGACAAUUCUAUAAGGAUCACCCAGAGCCUCACUGCGGCAAGGUUCGAGUGUCUGAUUUAAAAAUAAUGCUCUUGAAGUUUCAUCUAUUAAGAAUUUAUACCAUGUGAGCCAUUCAAUGAAGAGAGAAAGCUUAUUAAAAAAUGCAAUAUUAAAAAAAUACAAUAUUAAACUUAAAAGUACUUAAAGUCUAAAACACAUUUCUAUUACAAUAUGCCUACACAGUAAUAUAUGACCAAAAUGUAAUCUAUAAAAAUUCAUAAUACAUAAUCAGAUACUAGCUUUUGAAAGUUAGUUCUCAGGAUAUAAACCCUAGUUAGGGAAAGAUAGUUUUAGAAAUAAGGAUAUGGGAGCACCUGUGUGGUUCAGUAGUUGAGCUUCUGCCUUGGGCUCUGGUCGUGAUCCCGGGUUCCUGGGAUUGAGUCCCUCAUCAAGGCUCCCCACAGGGUGCCUGCUUCUCCCUCUGCCUAUGUCUCUACAUCUCUCAUGAAUAAAUAAAACAAAAUCUUAAAAAAAUAAAUAAGGAUAUACUUCUAGCUAAGAAAUACUUCUAUUUGAGAUUGCACUACUUUUUGAGUCAUUGUCACAAUCUAGUUAUAGGCAUAAAGUCAGUUUUCUAGAUUUCUCUGAGUUUAUGGGCGUCUUAUUAUUCUUCAACUUCCAUGGAGAAUUCUCACAAAACUAAUAUAAGAGCUGUGUAAUUAAAAAAAAAAGUUCAUCCUUUUCUUUUUUGAAAUAUGGAAUUUCAGCUUAUUUGGCAGCAGCCAUGAGUCCCAAGUUUAAUGACAACUGAUAAAAUGUUUUUUCCCUCAUUUUAAAUUUAUUGUAAAAUAAUAAGAACUAUGUUGGUAUGGACAACAUUUUUCACUGUGAAUGUUUUUAAAUUUUCAAUAUUUUAUAUAUGCUGUGUGUCAUUUGAA